Non-coding RNA from Ictidomys tridecemlineatus (thirteen-lined ground squirrel), 72 nucleotides. The record is from Rfam. NCBI's taxonomy places the organism in Eukaryota, Metazoa, Chordata, Mammalia, Rodentia, Sciuridae.
UGGAGUGUGGCUCAGUGGUUGAGCGCUUGCCUAGCAUGCAUGAAGCGCUGGGUUCGAUCCUCAGCACCACAU